RNAcentral lists this ribosomal RNA (840 nucleotides) under Xanthoparmelia ajoensis. RNAcentral's name for it is "eukaryotic LSU rRNA". It matches the Rfam family "Eukaryotic large subunit ribosomal RNA", at positions 81 to 936 of the family's 3401-position model. The record is from RNAcentral. Lineage: Eukaryota; Fungi; Ascomycota; Lecanoromycetes; Lecanorales; Parmeliaceae.
CAGUAACGGCGAGUGAAGCGGCAACAGCUCAAAUUUGAAAUCUGGCUCCUUCGGGGUCCGAAUUGUAAUUUGUAGAGAGUGCUUCGGGCGAGACCUCGGUCUAAGUCCAUUGGAACAUGGUGUCAUAGAGGGUGAGAAUCCCGUAUGCGACCGUGGCUCGAGCCCAUGUGAAGCCUCUUCGACGAGUCGAGUUGUUUGGGAAUGCAGCUCAAAAUGGGUGGUAAAUUUCAUCUAAAGCUAAAUACUGGCUGGAGACCGAUAGCGCACAAGUAGAGUGAUCGAAAGAUGAAAAGCACUUUGGAAAGAGAGUCAAACAGUACGUGAAAUUGUUGAAAGGGAAGCGCUUGCAACCAGACCUGCCCGUAGGCGAUCAGCCGCUGUUCUCAGCGGUGUACUCGCUCUGCGAUCAGGCCAGCAUCGGUUUCGGCGGUCGGAUAAAGACCUUGGGAAUGUAGCUUCCCUUCGGGGAAGUCUUAUAGCCCUCGGUGUAAUGCGGCCAGCCGAGACCGAGGACCGCGCUUCGGCUAGGAUGCUGGCGUAAUGGUUGUAAGCGACCCGUCUUGAAACACGGACCAAGGAGUCUAACAUCUAUGCGAGUGUUUGGGUGUCAAACCCAUACGCGGAAUGAAAGUGAACGGAGGUGAGAACCCUCAAGGGCGCAUCAUCGACCGAUCCAGAUGUCUUCGGAUGGAUUUGAGUAUGAGCAUAGCUGUUGGGACCCGAAAGAUGGUGAACUAUGCCUGAAUAGGGUGAAGCCAGAGGAAACUCUGGUGGAGGCUCGCAGCGGUUCUGACGUGCAAAUCGAUCGUCAAAUUUGGGUAUAGGGGCGAAAGACUAAUC